This 458-nucleotide ribosomal RNA is filed under the name uncultured bacterium. Its description in RNAcentral is "partial 16S ribosomal RNA". It matches the Rfam family "Bacterial small subunit ribosomal RNA", at positions 338 to 795 of the family's 1533-position model. The record is from RNAcentral.
CCUACGGGAGGCAGCAGUGGGGAAUAUUGGGCAAUGGGCGAAAGCCUGACCCAGCAACGCCGCGUGAAGGAAGAAGGCUUUCGGGUUGUAAACCUCUUUUGUCAGGGAACAAAGGCGGGGACUAGUCCCCGUCUGAGGUUACCUGAAGAAAAAGCAUCGGCUCACUCCGUGCCAGCAGCCGCGGUAAUACGGAGGAUGCGAGCGUUAUCCGGAUUUAUUGGGUUUAAAGGGUGCGCAGGCGGCCUGUUACGUCAGCGGUAAAAGCCCGGGGCUCAACCCCGGCGAGCCGUUGAAACUGGCGGGCUGGAGUUGGAGAGAAGUAAGCGGAAUGCGCGGUGUAGCGGUGAAAUGCUUAGAUAUCGCGCAGAACCCCGAUUGCGAAGGCAGCGUACCGGCUCCACACUGACGCUGAGGCACGAAAGCGUGGGUAUCGAACAGGAUUAGAUACCCCAGUAGUC